RNAcentral lists this ribosomal RNA (468 nucleotides) under uncultured bacterium. RNAcentral's name for it is "partial 16S ribosomal RNA". It matches the Rfam family "Bacterial small subunit ribosomal RNA", at positions 28 to 507 of the family's 1533-position model. The record is from RNAcentral.
GACGAACGCUGGCGGCGUGCUUAACACAUGCAAGUCGAACGGAAAGGCCCUGCUUAUGUGGGGUGCUCGAGUGGCGAACGGGUGAGUAACACGAGAGUAACCUGCCCUUGAAUUUGGGAUAACUUCAGGAAACUGGGGCUAAUCCCGGAUAGGAGCUCCUGCUGCAUGGUGGGGGUAGGAAAGUUUCGGCGGUUGGGGAUGGACUCGCGGCUUAUCAGAUUGUUGGUGGGGUAGUGGCUUACCAAGGCUUUGACGGGUAGCCGGCCUGAGAGGGGGACCGGCCACAUUGGGACAGAGAUACGGCCCGGACUCCUACGGGAGGCAGCAGUGGGGAAUAUUGCACAAUGGACGGAAGCCUGAUGCAGCAACGCCGCGUGCGGGAUGACGGCCUUCGGUUUGUAGACCGCUUUCGCCUGUGACGAAGGGUGAGUGACGGUAAUGGGUAAAGAAGCACCGGCUAACUACGUG